GAUCCUGGCUCAGGACGAACGUUGGCAGCGUGCCUAAGGUAUGCAAGUCGAGCGAUCCCGCUUGCGGGAGAGCGGCGAACGGGUGAGUAAUGUACAGAUAAUUUGCCUUUUUCUUGGAGAUAGCUUCGUGAAAGCGGAGGUAAUAUCCAAUGGUCCAUUAAGGUGCAAGUCCUUAAAUGGUAAAGGUCCGCCGGAAAAAGAUAAGUCUGUAUCCUAUCAGCUUGUUGGUGAGGUAAAGGCUCACCAAGGCUAUGACGGGUAGGGGGUGUGAGAGCACGACCCCCCACAGUGGCACUGAGAUACGGGCCACACUCCUACGGGAGGCAGCAAUUAGGAAUCUUGCGCAAUGGGCGAAAGCCUGACGCAGCGACGCUGCGUGGAGGACGAAUGUCUUUGGAUUGUAAACUCCUUUUAGUUGGGAGCAGGACGGAUAGUACCAACUGAAUAAGCACCUGCUAACUGCGUGCCAGAAGCAUCGGUGAUACGUAGGGUGCGAACGUUGUCCGGAAUUACUGGGCGUAAAGCGAGUGUAGGCUGUUAAAUAAGUUUUUUGUUAAAUCCCACAGCCUAACUGUGGAAAGGCAAGAAAUACUAUUUAGCUAGAGGGGGAGAGGGAAAAGCGGAACGUGUGGUGGAGCGGUUAUAUGUGUUGAUAUCACACGGAACACCGGAGGCGAAGGCGGCUUUUUGGCUCCUUCCUGACGCUAAGAAUCGAAAGCCAGGGUAGCAAAACGGAUUAAAUACCCGUGUACCCCUGGCUGUAAAUGAUGUAUGCUGGAUGGUAGCCUUCCUUUUUGAAUUUAAACCUUCAAAGGAGUUAGCGGGCGAAGCUUAACCCCGUUAGCAUACCCGCCUUAAGAGUAUGGUUCGCAAGGCUUGAUACUGAAAGGAAAUUGUUGGGGUACCCUGCACAAAGCGGGGGAUCAACGUGGUUUUAAUCCCGAGAAAUCUCCCCUAUUAACCUUAACCAGUGCUUGGAAAGGAUAAUGGCAGUUCUCUUCAAUAAAAUAAGGGUGCUCCCUUCCGAGAGGAACUCUCCCCACGUAUUUUGUAGUGCCCUGUCUUCAACUCUCAUGUCUCUGAAUAUAUUCCAGUUUAAUUCCGGGAUAAUAACGCUCCAACCCCCUAUCUCUAUAUAUUAAUGAUGUUCUAAAAACAUCGUCUGGGGUACAUACAACUUUAGAUAACUGCUGAAAAUUAACCCCUUGGUCGAUUCUAUGAUUCUCUACUCCUGGGUGCUACUCAAAUCUCCNCUAAUGACGUAAUAAUUAGUAUUAGUUCUCUCUCGCUAUAACUGUGAGACUAUUCAUUCUAUAAUAUUUAGCCUCUAUAGUGUAGAAUGUGGGAACACACCUCGCAUUAUACACACUUACAUACUGUACUACACGUAGAUUCAGAAUGGCAAUGAACACGAUAC
Molecule: ribosomal RNA, 1417 nt
Filed under: uncultured candidate division WS6 bacterium
Lineage: Bacteria
Description: bacterial SSU rRNA
Rfam family: Bacterial small subunit ribosomal RNA (bases 1-956)
Source: RNAcentral